GCGUUACUCGGAAUUACUGGGCGUAAAGCGUGCGUAGGUGGUUUGUCAAGUCUGAUGUGAAAGCCCUGGGCUCAACCUGGGAAUGGCAUUGGAUACUGGCGAGCUAGAGUGCGGUAGAGGGUAGUGGAAUUCCCGGUGUAGCAGUGAAAUGCGUAGAGAUCGGGAGGAACAUCUGUGGCGAAGGCGACUACCUGGACCAGCACUGACACUGAGGCACGAAAGCGUGGGGAGCAAACAGG
RNAcentral lists this ribosomal RNA (239 nucleotides) under uncultured bacterium. Its description in RNAcentral is "partial 16S ribosomal RNA". It matches the Rfam family "Bacterial small subunit ribosomal RNA", at positions 538 to 776 of the family's 1533-position model. The record is from RNAcentral.